AGCAGCCGCGGUAAUUCCAGCUCCAAUAGCGUAUAUUAAAGUUGUUGCAGUUAAAAAGCUCGUAGUUGAAUUUCGGGAUCAAUAUGUAGGUCGUGCUUCGGUACGUACUUGCAUCAUUGAUUUCUCCCUUCUGAUGAACCAUGAUGCCAUUAAUUUGGUGUUAUGGGGAAUCAGGACUGUUACUUUGAAAAAAUUAGAGUGUUUAAAGCAGGCUAACGCUUGAAUACAUUAGCAUGGAAUAACGAGAUAGGACGUUCGAUCCUAUUUUGUUGGUUUCUAGGAUUGACGUAAUGAUUAAUAGGGAUAGUUGGGGGCAUUAGUAUUCAAUUGUCAGAGGUGAAAUUCUUGGAUUUAUUGAAGACUAACUACUGCGAAAGCAUUUGCCAAGGAUGUCUUCAUUAAUCAAGAACGAAAGUUA
Molecule: ribosomal RNA, 418 nt
Filed under: uncultured Glomeromycotina
Lineage: Eukaryota; Fungi; Glomeromycota
Description: SSU rRNA
Rfam family: Eukaryotic small subunit ribosomal RNA
Source: RNAcentral